UUGUCUCAGGAAGAACUCUUUCUAUGGCUUCCGGUUGAGGAUAUCAUUGUUAACGAUCCAUCUUCAAGGCUCAUUUUGUUUGAUAUUGGUGUUGCUCAUAAACAGCUCUCCUUUUCUCUCUUUGAAAAACUUCCAGUUUGUAAACCUCAAGACUUGGUAUUGGAGAGGGAUGGGAAGAACAAGAUGAGAUUUCAAGCUCAGAGAUGAAAGAUGAGUCUUUCAUUUGAGAGGGAGAGAAGGGUUGGUGCAGGUGCUGAUGGGAACGGAGAGGCUUAUGGCUUGGAGAGAACGGACGAUUUACGUCUGGGUUGUUCGUCUGGAGAAGGGUUGAUGCAGGUGCAGUGCAGUGCAGCGAGAAUGGAGAGAACGGUAGAAUUACGUGUGGAGAAGGGAGGGAAUCGCCAGUUUUGAGAUGCAGCAAGCCUCUGUUUGGAUGGCUUGCGUGUCAAGAUAUAAUUGGCCGGUGUGAAAUUUGGUUUUAAACCCAUCCGGCCCCAAGCUUUUCCCUUUUUAAUAAGCAUGCUUCGAAUAUCAACAAUCACAUUUCUAUAAUCUGUAGAAAUAUCUCCCCUGCCGUUUAUAUCCUUCACAACUGUAUACAACUGUAUGAGAAUCUUCUUCCAGUAUCACCCUUGACAGCCCCAGCUCAAUGCAAAAAUCCAUAGCUCUCCUCAAGGCCAGUGUCUCUGCUAUAACAGGCUUCAUUUUAUGCUUCAUGUCCGAACACAGAGCAGCCAAAAUCUCUCUUGCAGUGUCUCUGAUUAUCAUAAGCCCCACAAUCUUUGACUGAUUAUCUACGGUAGCGUUGGCCUUAUAGUAUAAACCCGUUGGUUUUUCCAGGUUCUCUCUACUCUUCUUGAUAGCAUACUCUCCUAUUUAUAACUCUGUGCUAGAGUAAAGUCCACUAGACACUGCUUUGCAUUCAGAAUCACCAUUCUCGGGUGCUCAAAUCUGUUUUUUUCAAAAAUUAAGGAGUUUCUUCAUAACCAUAUUCUUCUCAUUGUAUAAGCCACUAACUCAACCUCUUCAGUAUUUAGUUUCUUAUUUAGUUUCAUCCAUGGCUCCAUAAAAACAGUUUCAUUACUAGACCACUUUUGCAAUGGGCUCCCAGUUUCUCCCCAAACAUUUGAGGCUGCAGGAUAGCUCUACAAAGCAUGCACAGAUGACUCAACUUCUAUUUCACAAACUGGGCAUAAGCUAUUAUCAGUAAUAUUCUUCUUGAAAAUGUUCAAUUUCGUUGGGAGUAAAUGUUUUUCAACCCUCCAUAAGAAAUGUUUCACCAUUCCUUCCACUUUUAAGUCCCAUAUCCACUUCCAGCCAUCUUCUGUUUUAGCUAGUUUUGAUGUUUUCCCUUUCAUUAGUUUAUUUCUAGUAUGUUUUAAAUGGUAAGCACUUUUAACAGUAAACAUCUCAUUAUUAGAAUGUAUCCAUAUAAUUUUAUCAUUAAUACACAACCUAUUCAAGGGAAUGCUGUUAAUAA
This is a long non-coding RNA of Juglans regia (Persian walnut), 1480 nucleotides long. RefSeq lists it as uncharacterized. Lineage: Eukaryota; Viridiplantae; Streptophyta; Magnoliopsida; Fagales; Juglandaceae. The transcript has 2 exons. The record is from RefSeq and is a predicted model, not a curated record.